UGAGCUUGAAUCCAAACACCUUCAUCACCGUUCACGAACCCAAACGCCUCAUACCUAGAAUACCCAGAUGGCUUCUCCUUCUCCGUAACGGCUACUUUUUUCUUCUCAUAUGGUCAGAGCAGGAGGAGACCUCAAGAUUCACCUGACUCUCUCUGGUUUUGUGGUGAAGAAGGACUUGUUCAUCGCUUUGUUGCUUCAGCGAAUGGACUGCGAUAACGACAAGUAAAUCCCUCUUUCUUUUUUUAUUUUUAUUUUUUGAUAUCUAUGAUCGGUUUUCGUAUAUGGGUUUUUCUCCGAAUUGCAUUUUUUUUUAGUUUGUUCUUGGUUGUGGUUACUAUACUUGAUUCUUCAUUUCUUGAUAUCUAUGGUUCGGUUUGUAUUUAAGAUUUUUUUAUUUAAGUUAAAUGUGUGGAGAUGAUAUGACUUAAUCUGCAGAUUUAAGGAGAAUGAGUGGAAAUGAAUGAAUGGACUAUGUGAUUUGGUUGUUGGGUCAUUUUGCUUUUGCCUUUUAUUUUGCCCUUUUAUCACGUAAAAUCUAAUUGUCUAUGUUUGGAUUAUGAUACCCUUUUAGUAAGCAUUUUGUAGCAUUGUCCUUUUAUUUUUACUGAUUUUUUAUUUUCCUUCUUCAUUUUGGAAUGCUAGUACUGAAUACCGUUGUUUGAUUUCCAAGCCACCGCCAUCCAUUGUCCAAGCUGCUGCCAUUCGUGGGUGUUCUUCUCUGAUGUGUUGUAAAUCAUUAAAGCAGAAAGGCAGAAAGAGACCAUGGCUUCUCCUUCUCCUUCUCACCUCACAGCUAUCCCACAACGCCUCUCAAAACCCUCCAUUUCCCACUUAAACUCGAAGCCAGUCGAGCUCCGUGUGAGGUCGAGUUUGGAAAAUGAGAGCAGUGGCACUGAGGAUUCUGGUCACUCAUCAUCAAAACCUCUGAAGGGAUCUCAGCCAGCAAUCAAUCGGAUUUUGU
This is a long non-coding RNA of Humulus lupulus (European hop), 961 nucleotides long. RefSeq lists it as uncharacterized. Lineage: Eukaryota; Viridiplantae; Streptophyta; Magnoliopsida; Rosales; Cannabaceae. The record is from RefSeq and is a predicted model, not a curated record. The transcript is spliced from 3 exons.